GUGGCAGCCGCCGCGGUAAUACGAGGGGUCCUAGCGUUGUCCGGAUUUACUGGGCGUAAAGGGUACGUAGGCGUUUUAAAUAAGUUAUAUGUCAAAUAUCUUAGCUUAACUAAGAAAGUGCAUAUAAAACUGUUAAAAUAGAGUUUGAGAGAGGAACGCAGAAUUCAUGGUGGAGCGGUGACAUGCGUAGAUAUCAUGAGGAAAGUCAAAUGCGAAGGCAGCCUUCUGGCUCAAAACUGACGCUGAGGUAUGAAAGCGUGGGGGGCGAACAGGAUUAGAUACCCUGGUAGUCCACGCCGUAAACGAUGAGUAUUUGGUGCUGGGGGAUUCGACCCUUUCAGUGCCGUAGCUAACGCGAUAAAUACUCCGCCUGGGGACUACGAUCGCAAGAUUGAAACUCAAAUGAAUUGACGG
Molecule: ribosomal RNA, 414 nt
Filed under: uncultured bacterium
Lineage: Bacteria
Description: bacterial SSU rRNA
Rfam family: Bacterial small subunit ribosomal RNA
Source: RNAcentral